RNAcentral lists this ribosomal RNA (357 nucleotides) under Triticum aestivum (bread wheat). RNAcentral describes it as "partial small subunit ribosomal RNA". Lineage: Eukaryota; Viridiplantae; Streptophyta; Magnoliopsida; Poales; Poaceae. The record is from RNAcentral.
AUGGAUGCCACUAGUCAAGUGGGCACUCCUCUAUCCCAAAGAGAUCCAGGUCACACCCCUGCAUUUCAACAGUUUCAGAACAGGGAGAGACAACUAUGGCAAGGAUAUUACAAAACAUAUGAGCAGGACAUGCAAGCCCAAUUCAUGAAGGCUAUGACAAAAGGUCCUAAACUAGAAUUUCCUAAAUUCUUUGGAGAGGAUCCUGUGGGAUGGUUGAGACAAUGUAACAAAUACUUUCAAAUGUCUGGUGCUCCUGAAGAAUACAAAGUAUCCUUAGCACAGAUGUAUAUAAGUGGAGAGGCUGAUAUUUGGUUAAGAAGAUCUGGUCUGCUUAAAAAGCAUUUGACAUGGAAAUAA